This is a long non-coding RNA of Lolium rigidum, 1473 nucleotides long. RefSeq lists it as uncharacterized. The transcript has 3 exons. Lineage: Eukaryota; Viridiplantae; Streptophyta; Magnoliopsida; Poales; Poaceae. The record is from RefSeq and is a predicted model, not a curated record.
UCUUGGUCUUGCGCCAACUCGCGGAUCGGCGCCUUGGCAGCUUUGGAUGUGGUCGCCGCAGUACCUUCGCGCCUCGGCAGAAACUGCUCGUUGUGGCCCUCUCGAUUGAUGUUGCUCACCUGGGCAGACACAGAAUGCCCGCGUGGUCACAUCUUCGACAAGCCGUGAUGUUUGAGUCGGUCUUGGCCAGCAGUAUUUGGCAGUAUGGGCAAAGGGGGUUUUGUGUUUCCUUUCCUUUACAUCUAUCAGUUCGGAGAGUACUUCCAUCAGAUGCACCAUUCUUACAAGCCGGUGAUGGUUCGGUUGCAGAUUUUGAAAGGAACAGACAGAUAUCAAAUCUUCGGAUGCUGGAUUGUAGGAAGGUGGGUAAUGGGUAAAGUCCAUCUGUAUCUCCACUAUGAUGGCAUCAGCGGAAGUGCCAUAUAUAUCAGUAUCUGGUUCCAAACACUAAACUUACUCUUAGAAGUUUGCUGCUCAUCACUUUCUCGUGUUCCCAUGUAGAAUGUUGAAUUAGCUCUUAUUCUGUACUCCCUCCAUUCCUUAUUAAUUGACUCUGAUUUAUUACAACUUUUUACUAAAUCAGAGUCAAUUAAUAGGGAACAGAGGGAGUACUUGCUUGCUUAUAUCACACCCUUUUCAUGCUACCCCCUACAAAAAGAUUGGCAAUUGAAAUUCUUUGGACAGUUAAUCAACAGUUGACAAAGAACAUUCAACCUGCUGUCAACGAUGUCUAGUCUUAUUCACUUGCAUUUCUUUUCACAUUCAAUGACAUGACACUUUCCUUUGAAUCUUUUACUAGUUCAUUGCUCUCUGAUCUGCUUAUAUUUUGAUUAGUUUUUAUUUAACCUUUUGUUGUGUCGAAUAAGAUUGUACAUGGAUCUGUCGAUGUCGAACUAUUCUUAGAGGCUGCACUUGGUUUAUAUUGUGGAAAAGUAAACAAACCUGACAGGCUAAAGGCUCUUUUACUUCUUGCACGCUCCAUUGAGGCAGAUCCAAGCACAGUUAUCCUGUGGGUGUUUUAUCUUCAUAUUUACUAUCAAAAGGAUGAAGGACUUGGAACAUUUUAAGUGAACUGCAGGAGGGUGGGCGGAGGGCGCGCUCAGCGGUGCUCUGGCAUCCUGCUCGACAAGGAAGAGGGUUUGGCGUCGGGGACGGGAACCUGGCUGCGGCGUCGGAUGCAUGGCGCAGCUGGCGCAACUUCCUCUGGCCGCGCGAUGAGGCAUAUGGCCGCGCGGCGAGGCAGGGCCCAAACUCCAUGACAACUUUCUUCCUCGGCGGCAGAUGAACCCUGUUGUUCAUGAUGUGGAGAUGAACCCUGUCGUGUAUUUUAUCUAAUGGUUUCAAACCAUGUUGUUCAUGAUGUGGAGAUGAACCCUGUUGGUCAUGUAAGUUAGAUGCCUGGAUUGUGAAUCCUUGAAUGUUUCAAAAUGUUGGUUUCAAACCUAGAUUGCUUGGAAAUAUUGGUUUUAAACA